UGUUAUACUGCUGUGUCGAGAGAAUCGAGUGUGAAAAUUUCGAUACAAUAUUCUCAGACCAUAACAAGUUUAUUGUUGCCUGCGGCAAAACGUGCAAUAUAUUAUCCAAAACUCGUUGUUGACCGACCUGGAUUGUAUCUUUCGAUACAUCGACUUAUACUUUCUGAAAGAAUGUACAUGCUUGUAUAAGUGACCUGGGAUUUUUGUUUCUUGUUGAAUUUUCUUUUUGGACGCUGCUUGCUUCCUUAAUUCCGGUGCGCGAUAGCGCCGCUGUGGUGUGUUUUCAACCCUCCUUUGUGUUAAAAAUUUAAUUUAGUGGAUUGAUGUUGAUUUACUUGUAGUCUUGUACUUGUAUUUACUUGUAGUCUUGUAGUCUUGUAAUUCAGCGAGGCAACGCUGCUUCCGUUCUCGGUACAAUGGAAGGAGCGGCAGCAUUAAAUGAAAUUUUGUUAUUUUGAUUUACUGUUGCAAAACUGUGAUGUUACCGCAUUUUGUGAAACAGAGUCGGCAGUCUUGUACCGCUAUGCGAUAUAUUACGGUAAACGCGAACAGCAGUGCUUGCUUGACGGGAGAGUGCAGCCUAAUGCAACACGCAUGUCCAGCGUGGGUUGCCGCUGGGAUUGCCCACUUCGGAACACAACAAGGACUGCCACCAAAGUCUCCUCCUGUGUCCUUAUCUGCCCGAAUUUGGAUGUAUGGAUCCAGCAUACUUCAUGCAGAUUUCACUGCGCUAACAAGCUCCAUAUCACGACUCGCCACGCCACAGUUGAAACCGCUGUUGGACUUUGAUGACGACGGCUACGCCUAUUUCUCAAUGAUUUAGCCGGCAUCCGCCAGCAACCCAGACGAGGAUUAUACGAGAUCAAGAUGGAGCAAUAUCUCAGGCAAAGAAUUAAUCGUAUAACAAAAACUAGUUGCGCUAAAGAAAAUUUUUAAUGGCAAUUAGUUAGGGACCAUCCAUAAAUUACGUAACGCAAAAAUUUACAGCUUUGAAUACUCCUUUCCCCGUGUCACCAAUGCUAACAAAGCUGAGAUCCUUUCCGCUGAACGCUAAGUAACAAAGUAAAAACACCUCCAGACGCCAGAUUGGAAUAAAUUGUACAUGUAAGACAUUUUUGAACCCUCCCCCUUUUAUCAUAAACAGUACAGUAACGUUUCAAAAACUCCCCCCUCCUCCUACUUGCGUUACGUAAUGUAUUGAUAAUCCUGAUACGAGUUUUAGGUACCGUUUUUCCGGGGGCUAGUUAACAGUUCAACCACCCUGAUGCUGUUGUGGCAUAUUGCGGACUGACACUUUUAUAGGAUACAGUGGAUACCACAACAACGUCCAUCCAUUAUCCACAGUCCUCUCGUGUGGACCAUUGACACCCUUCGACCCAAAGAGACUUGGGUGCAGUUCUGCACCAAAGCCACCAUGGGACGGGUUUAUAGCUAGUCCCACUUCCUCCGCUCUCCCAGAUCCUUACGCCUAGAACGGACAAGGAUAACGAUUGACCAUGUAUGUACAGUUCUUAAAAAGAAAUUGUAAUUGCUUUUAAUGUCUAAAUUGCAGUUAUAAACAGCCGUGCAGUUUUCAUACCUUCGUGUGCAAACGCAAACAUUAUUACUAGAGGACGACGACGCGUGUGCUUGUUGCUAAUUGUAUGCUUGAAAUAAUUGUCUGUUUUCUUAUACUAUGCUUGUCAGCUCUCAUAUAAAUAGCAUUACUGCUGGAUCAGUGAAU
Long non-coding RNA from Paramacrobiotus metropolitanus, 1723 nucleotides. RefSeq lists it as uncharacterized. Lineage: Eukaryota; Metazoa; Tardigrada; Eutardigrada; Parachela; Macrobiotidae. The transcript has 5 exons. The record is from RefSeq and is a predicted model, not a curated record.